This 465-nucleotide ribosomal RNA is filed under the name Vreelandella stevensii. RNAcentral's name for it is "partial 16S ribosomal RNA". It matches the Rfam family "Bacterial small subunit ribosomal RNA", at positions 338 to 795 of the family's 1533-position model. The record is from RNAcentral. Lineage: Bacteria; Pseudomonadati; Pseudomonadota; Gammaproteobacteria; Oceanospirillales; Halomonadaceae.
CCUACGGGUGGCUGCAGUGGGGAAUAUUGGACAAUGGGGGGAACCCUGAUCCAGCCAUGCCGCGUGUGUGAAGAAGGCCCUCGGGUUGUAAAGCACUUUCAGUGAGGAAGAACGCCUGGUGGUUAAUACCCAUCAGGAAAGACAUCACUCACAGAAGAAGCACCGGCUAACUCCGUGCCAGCAGCCGCGGUAAUACGGAGGGUGCGAGCGUUAAUCGGAAUUACUGGGCGUAAAGCGCGCGUAGGUGGCUUGAUAAGCCGGUUGUGAAAGCCCCGGGCUCAACCUGGGAACGGCAUCCGGAACUGUCAUGCUAGAGUGCAGGAGAGGAAGGUAGAAUUCCCGGUGUAGCGGUGAAAUGCGUAGAGAUCGGGAGGAAUACCAGUGGCGAAGGCGGCCUUCUGGACUGACACUGACACUGAGGUGCGAAAGCGUGGGUAGCAAACAGGAUUAGAUACCCCUGUAGUC